AUACGGAGGGUGCAAGCGUUACUCGGAAUCACUGGGCGUAAAGCGCGCGCAGGCGGUCUUUUAAGUUGGAUGUGAAAGCCUACGGCUCAACCGUAGAACUGCAUCCAAAACUAUUAGACUUGAGUGUGGGAGAGGAAGAUGGAAUUAGUUGUGUAGGGGUAAAAUCCGUAGAGAUAACUAGGAAUACCAAAAGCGAAGGCAAUCUUCUGGAACACUACUGACGCUGAGGCGCGAAAGCGUGGGGAGCAAACAGGAUUAGAAACCCUAGUAGUCC
Molecule: ribosomal RNA, 274 nt
Filed under: uncultured bacterium
Lineage: Bacteria
Description: partial 16S ribosomal RNA
Rfam family: Bacterial small subunit ribosomal RNA
Source: RNAcentral